AUUUAUUUCAUUUAUUCACCAGAUAGUUUUAGUACUGUUUUAGGUAUUGGGGAUAUACCAAGGAAUAAAACAAGAUUCCUGGAGGGAGAGGGGAACGGACAGCAAACAAUAGACACAAUACGAUCGUGAGGUAUAUAGUUAAUGUUGGUGAUGAGUGCUCCUCAAAGGAAACAACUAAAACCAGACAAGGGAAGUCGGGGUGUCAGGGAGAAUGGUUUGUAGUAUUGAUGACAAUGGUUAAGGAAGGCCUGAGUUCUGCAAAGACCUCAAGGAUAUGAGGGACUAGAGUGCCCUCUGCUGUGGAAGAGCCUGCGCAAAGAUCCUGAGGUGGGAGGGGUCAGGGAGCCAACUCAUUUUACGGUAAGUGGAGGUGGGAUCCAGGGGAGGAUUCUGAGCAGAGGAGGGACGUGGCCCAAUUUGGGCUUUGAAAGGAUCCUGCUUGUCUGUGUGCCAGCAUCCUGGUGGUGGUUGGGGGAGUCUGCAUCAAUCCUGGGUGCUGUUACCUGAAAAAAUAGCAGGUGUUAGACGAAAGAACAGAUGUCUGGCCCAUUGUCUCCAGUCUGUUCCUGUCCACAGCUUCCCUUUAUGCUGAGCCCCUGCCACAUGCAUCAUCAUCCUGGCCAUGUGGCAUUGUCACAGACCGUCUCUCCUGCUAGCCUCCUAACUCAGGGCCUGGGUCUUCCCCAGCAUUAAGUAAAUCAGUCUCAGGCAGACAGCCCUUUAUAGGUGUUUGGGCCAGGUGCGGUGGCUCACGCCUGUAAUCCCAGCUCUUUGUGGGGCCGAGGUCUUUGAGCUCAGGAGUUCAAGACCAGCCUGGGCAGCAUGACAAAACCCUGUCUCUACCAAAAAUACAAAAAUUAGCCACGCAUGGUGGCACACACCUGUGGUCCCAGCUACUCGGGAGGCUGAGGUGGGAGGAUCGCUGGAGCCUGGGAAGUUGAGGCUGCAGUGAGCCGUGAUCAUGCCACUGCAUUCCAGCCUGUGUGAUGGAGAGAGACCCUGUCUCAAAAAAAA
Long non-coding RNA from Homo sapiens (human), 1014 nucleotides. RefSeq annotates it as inactivation escape 1. The transcript has a single exon. The record is from RefSeq and is marked validated. NCBI's taxonomy places the organism in Eukaryota, Metazoa, Chordata, Mammalia, Primates, Hominidae.